AUGAGGGCGCACAGUGGAUGCCUUGGCACUAGAAGGCGAUGAAGGACGCGACUACCUGCGAUAAGCGGCGGCGAGCUGGAUGUGAGCUUCGACCCGCCGAUUUCCGAAUGGGGGAACCCGGCCGCUUUUACCGGCGGCCACCGACCGGCGUUUGCGCCGGCGGGGAUACACCCGGGGAAUUGAAACAUCUUAGUACCCGGAGGAGAAGAAAGAGUGAUCGAUUCCGUGAGUAGCGGCGAGCGAAAGCGGAGGAGCCCAAACCGGAGAGAUCCGGUGUCCGGGCCCGCGGCAUGGGAUUCGCGAGCGUCAGGCGAGCGGCCUGGGAAGGCCGGCCUCAGAGGGUGAGAGCCCCGUAGCCGAAGGCGCGAGCGACCCUAGCGGGUUCCAGAGUACGUCGGGGCACGUGAAAUCCUGACGGAAGGUCCGCAGACCAUUGCGGAAGGCUAAAUACUAGCUAGUGACCGAUAGCGCACCAGUACCGCGAGGGAAAGGUGAAAAGAACCCCGGGAGGGGAGUGAAAAGAAUCUGAAACCGUGUGCCCACAAGAAGCCAGAGGGCGUUGAUGCCUGAUGGCGUGCCUAUUGAAGAAUGAGCCGGCGAGUUACGUUCGCACGCAUGGUUAAGCCGAAGAGGCGGAGCCGCAGGGAAACCGAGUCUUAAAGGGGCGAUUUGUGUGCGGGCGCAGACCCGAAGCCCGACGAUCUAUCCAUGGCCAGGAUGAAAUCGGGGUAACACCCGACGGAGGUCCGAACCGACGUUCGUUGCAAUGCCCGCGGAUGAGCUGUGGAUAGUGGAGAAAUUCCAAUCGAGUCGGGGGAUAGCUGGUUCUCCUCGAAAUAGCUUUAGGGCUAGCGUCCGGCGUACCCUCUGGGGGUAGAGCACUGAAUGCCUGAUGGCCGCGCACAGCGGUACUGAAUGCAAUCAAACUCCGAAUCCCAGGGGGGUCGAGCCGGGCAGUCAGACUGCGGGGGAUAAGCUCCGUGGUCGAAAGGGAAACAGCCCAGACCGCCGAAUGAGGUCCCCAAAUCCACGCUAAGUGUGAAAGGACGUGGGGGCGCUUAGACAACUAGGAUGUUGGCUCAGAAGCAGCCACCAUUCAAAGAGUGCGUAACAGCUCACUAGUCGAGUGCCCCCGCACCGAAGAUUUACCGGGGCUGAAGCGUGGUGCCGAAUUCGCGGAUUUUGGAUUCGCGUCCAAAGUGGUAGAGGAGCGUUCCGCCAGGGGCGAAGCCGCACCGAGAGGAGCGGUGGACCGGGCGGAAGUGAGUAUGCCGGUGUCAGUAACGAUGAGGGGUGGGAAUCCCCUCCACCAUUUGACUGAGGUUUCCCGGGCGAGGGUCGUCCCCCCGGGGUCAGUCGGGACCUAAGGCGAGGCCGAAGGGCGUAGCCGAUGGACGCCAGGUCGACAUUCCUGGACUGGUGCGCGUGCGAUGUGGUGACGGAUCCGGACAGGGGCUCCCCCUUAUUGGAUUGGGGGCCAAGCGGCUCGGCCGCGCGGCAGGCAAAUCCGCCGCGCAGAGGCGAGGCCGCGAGCGCGAGCGAAACCUUCGGGGAGUAGCGAAGGCUCCGACGCCGGGUCCCGAGAAAAACCGCUAGCCUAAGCGCGCAUCACCCGUACCGAGAACGGACACACGUGGUCAAGGAGAGUAUCCUGAGGUGAGCGAGUUAACUGUUGUUAAGGAACUCUGCAAAAUUGCUUCGUAACUUCGGAAGAAGAAGCGCCGGCGCGAGCCGGCCGCAGUGAAGAGGCCCAAGUAACUGUUUAUCAAAAACACAGCUCUAUGCUAAGCCGCAAGGCGACGUAUAUGGGGUGAUGCCUGCCCAGUGCUGGAAGAUUAAGGGGAGGAGUCAGGCGCAAGCCGAAGCCCCGAGCCGAAGUCCCAGUGAACGGCGGCCGUAACUAUAACGGUCCUAAGGUAGCGAAAUUCCUUGUCAGGCAAAUUCUGACGCGCAUGAAUGGUAUAAUAAUUUGGGCGCUGUCUCGACAGCAGACUCGGUGAAAUCUUAUUACCUGUGAAGAUGCAGGUUACCCGCGACUAGACGGAGAGACCCCAUGGAGCUUUACUACAGCUUACCAUUGGGCAGGCGAUGCGCAUGCGCAGAAUAGGUGGGACGCUUUGAUCCCGGGGCCUUGGCCUCGGGGGAGCGGGCGGUGAGAUACCACUCUUGCGCGUUGCCUGUCCUAACGCGCGCCUUCACCGGGCGGCGGACAGUGGUUGGCGGGUAGUUUGACUGGGGCGGUCGCCUCCCAAAAGGUAACGGAGGCGCUCCAAGGUACCCUCAGCACGGUCGGAAAUCGUGCCUCGAGUGCAAUGGCAUAAGGGUGCUUGACUGCGAGUCCUACAAGACGAGCAGGGACGAAAGUCGGACAUAGUGAUCUUGCGGUCCCGGAUGGAAGGGCCGUAACUUAACGGAUAAAAGCUACCCUGGGGAUAACAGGCUGAUCUGGUCCAAGAGUUCACAUCGACGACCAGGUUUGGCACCUCGAUGUCGGCCCAUCACAUCCUGGAGGGGAAGUACCUUCCAAGGGUUUGGCUGUUCGCCAAUUAAAGUGGUACGCGAGCUGGGUUCAAAACGUCGUGAGACAGUUUGGUCCCUAUCUGUCGUGGGCGCAGGAGGUUUGAGCGGAGUAGUCCCUAGUACGAGAGGACCGGGAUUAACGGGGCGACGGUACGCCGGUUGUCACGCCAGUGGCACGGCCGGGUAGCCGCCCCCGGAGCGGAUAAGCGCUGAAAGCAUAUAAGCGCGAAGCCAACCGCGAGAUGAGACCUCCCAUCCGAAAGGAGUAAGGGCCCCCCUAUGUCAGGGGGUCGAUAGGGCGCAGGUGUAAGCGCGGCGACGCGCUGAGCCGAGCGCUACUAAUAGCCCGAGGGCUUAAUUU
RNAcentral lists this ribosomal RNA (2881 nucleotides) under human gut metagenome. Its description in RNAcentral is "bacterial LSU rRNA". It matches the Rfam family "Bacterial large subunit ribosomal RNA". The record is from RNAcentral.